GACGAACGCUGGCGGCGUGCUUAACACAUGCAAGUCGAACGGAAAGGCCCUGCUUUUGUGGGGUGCUCGAGUGGCGAACGGGUGAGUAACACGUGAGUAACCUGCCCUUGACUUUGGGAUAACUUCAGGAAACUGGGGCUAAUACCGGAUAGGAGCUCCUGCUGCAUGGUGGUGGUUGGAAAGUUUCGGCGGUUGGGGAUGGACUCGCGGCUUAUCAGCUUGUUGGUGGGGUAGUGGCUUACCAAGGCUUUGACGGGUAGCCGGCCUGAGAGGGUGACCGGCCACAUUGGGACUGAGAUACGGCCCAGACUCCUACGGGAGGCAGCAGUGGGGAAUAUUGUACAAUGGGCGGAAGCCUGAUGCAGCAACGCCGCGUGCGGGAUGACGGCCUUCGGGUUGUAAACCGCUUUCGCCUGUGACGAAGCGUGAGUGACGGUAAUGGGUAAAGAAGCACCGGCUAACUACGUG
This 468-nucleotide ribosomal RNA is filed under the name uncultured bacterium. RNAcentral's name for it is "partial 16S ribosomal RNA". It matches the Rfam family "Bacterial small subunit ribosomal RNA", at positions 28 to 507 of the family's 1533-position model. The record is from RNAcentral.